CAAAGUAAGAAAGUAUGCAGGGAAAAGUGGGUGACGUAAGGUAACCCGUUAAGCGAACCGCCUGGGGAGUACGACCGCAAGGUUAAAACUCAAAGGAAUUGACGGGGGAGCGCACAACCGGUGGAGCAUGUGGUUUAAUUCGAUACAAAGCGAAAAACCUUACCUGGGUUUGACAUGUACCUGCACGUUCUGGGAAACCAGAAUUUCUUCGAGAGUGGUACACAGGUGAUGCAUGGCUGUCGUCAGCUCGUGUCGUGAGACGUCCACUUAAGUGUGGUAACGAGCGCAACCCUUGCUGUCAGUUACAAGUGUCUGACAGGACUGCCCCCGCAUUGCGGGGGAGGAAGGAGAGGACGACGUCAAGUCAGCAUGUCCCUUACAUCCAGGGCUACACACAUCCUACAAUGGAGCCGACAACGGGUCGCGACGGAGUAAUCCUGAGCCAAUCCUUAUAAACGGCUCCUCAGUUCAGAUUGAGGGCUGCAAUUCGCCCUCAUGAAGCCGGAAUCGGUAGUAAUCGCAAAUCAGCAGGUUGCGGUGAAUACGUUCUCGCUCCUUGUACACACUGCCCGUCAAGCCAGCAAAGUCAGCAACGCCCGAAGCGGGUGACCGUAACCAGUUUACUGG
This 627-nucleotide ribosomal RNA is filed under the name uncultured bacterium. RNAcentral's name for it is "bacterial SSU rRNA". It matches the Rfam family "Bacterial small subunit ribosomal RNA", at positions 798 to 1446 of the family's 1533-position model. The record is from RNAcentral.